UGAUGAUGAUGACGAUGAUGAUGAUAAUGAUGAUGGUUGAUGGUGGUGAUUAUGAUGACCUUCUCUACUAUUAUCAUCAUCGUUAUAAUGACGAACA
Molecule: microRNA precursor, 97 nt
Filed under: Bigelowiella natans CCMP2755
Lineage: Eukaryota; Cercozoa; Chlorarachniophyceae
Description: miRNA EPrBNAG00000013401
Source: RNAcentral